RNAcentral lists this long non-coding RNA (1212 nucleotides) under Carassius auratus (goldfish). RNAcentral's name for it is "lncRNA (ENSCARG00000032642.1)". Lineage: Eukaryota; Metazoa; Chordata; Actinopteri; Cypriniformes; Cyprinidae. The record is from RNAcentral.
AUGAGCUCUCAUGCGUGUUCUCCAGAAGAUGUGCAGCACCAGCAGGUGACCCAGUCCUCCAUCCUCCUCCGGCUUCAGGAGGCCACCAAACCGUCUCCAGCGGACAGCGAGAGCUGGAGUUCUGGACCGUCACAUGUAGAGCGUGAAGACAGCGGGUCACUCGUCCUCUCCGGGGGUCAAGAGUCUGAGUUCGGCACGAAAACCCGUCUGUGCUGCACAUCGAGGGCAGUUCUGAUCGGGAUCAAACAUUUGUCAUCACCUCCAGCUACAGUGAAGAGAUCCAGCGCUGGAGGAGGAGCAGGAGCAGCUGGACACAGAGGAGCAGCUCCGAGGAGGAGAGCGACCGCUGCGGUGUGUCCCAGAGUAAGAUGUGUGUGUCCUGCCGCACGAGGAAGACUCCUCUCUGGAGAGACGCUGAGGACGGGACGCCGCUAUGUAACGCCUGUGGCAUCAGGUAUAAGAAGUACCGCGUGCGCUGUCAGCGGUGCUGGAACAUCCCCAAGAAGGACACAAACACACACUCCUCGCGUCAGAGAUGCGGCGAGGUCCUGAAGCUGAAGCGCAGCAGCUGCUAGACACUCAUGAGCUCCGGGACUGAUCGCUGCGGUUCACUCUUCACUUACUUAAUUUACACAUUUACUGCUGAAAAUAUUUAUUGAUUUGUCACAGUGUCUCUGAUUUGUGUUUGCGGCUGUGUUUGUGUUCAGAGGUUUUCUGUGCUGGAAUGAAAUAUUAAAUUAUAUAUAUAGUCCCCUGAUGUUGCAGGAUUAUUACAUGGAUGCUUUAUUAUACGGUGUAUGCAGAUGAAUGUGUGAAUCAGUGUUUGUGUGUGUGAGUGAGAUCAGAUCAUUGAACAGGCUUCAGUUCCUGCUUCUCUGAGCCUCAUUUGUUCAGCUCAGACGUUCUGCUGUAAUUGUGACAAUAAUUGACUCAAUUUGAGAGAAGUGAAGCUUUUUGUUGAUUUCCCGAAGGCUCCAGAGCCAGACGCUGGAGGUUUAGUCACUGGUUGGGUGAUUAUGUUGAGAAUCUGAUGAUCGUGAGGAUUGUUUGAGUUCUGAGGAGUGUGUAGAAGCUGUGACUGAUCGUGUUUGCGGUGAUGUUUCUGUCUCAUGGUCUGUGGCUUCUCUGUUGAGAUUAGGAUUUAGUUGUGAUUAGAAAAUGUAGAAAUUAGACAAAUGACAUUUCAGGGUCUUUAUGUUCACUCCCAAAACC